CUAACCUUAAAAUGCGAUCAUCCGUGAUAACCAAUGUGAUUGUACUGUUUGGACUGCAUUUGUCGUAUUGGUGUUGGAACACGGUAGAUGCCAGCGGCGGGGCACUCGACACGAGCUCGAACUUUCAAUCUGGUUCAACUGGAAGUUCACAUUCCAAAGUUACGGCAUUCUCCGCGACACUUACCGAUGGAUUAGCGCAAGCCGUUGCUCACGAAGCUGGUUCCGAUACUUGUAACGAUGACCUAGCUUGUCUUACACUGGCUUCUCAUGAUCGACUAGGUUUAGAAGCUAUCAAAUCACUCCACAGUCAACUAGACGAUGAUGCCAAUGGAAAUGUGGAUCUUACAGAGUCAGAUGAUUUUUUAAGAGAAGAGUUACAAUAUGAAGCUGGGUAUGAAAGGAGACAGAGGGCUUUCCAUCAUAAUGAUGAUAUGCAUAUUAGUGUUCGAGAACUUUGGGAAGCCUGGCUAAGGUCAGAGGUUCAUAAUUGGACUAUAGAACAAACAUCAGAAUGGUUAGCUUCUAGUGUAGAUCUUCCACAAUAUGUUCCUACUUUUAUACAACACCGUGUAACUGGUGCUACACUUCCAAGAUUGGCUGUGAACAAUAUGCAAUACCUAAGUAAUGUGUUAGGCAUCAAGGAUCCCAUUCAUAAACAAAAAAUUGCCUUAAAAGCUAUGGAUGUAGUUCUUUUUGGGCCACCAAAGGAUACUGGACAUGGCAUCAAAGAUACGGUAUUAAUAACAUUGUUUUUCGGAGUGUGUAUAGGAUGUUGGUAUGCAUAUCGGCAGAGGCAAGACUCAAAGAAACAUCUCCACAGAAUGAUGAAGGAUAUGGAGAGUUUACAUAAAGCAGAAUUGGCAUUGGAGGACUUGCAAAAAGAAUUGGAGAGGGCACGAAUGGAACAAGAAAGUGUAACUACUGAGAAACAAAACUUAGAGAAACGUUUACAAGACGAAAGUGUAGGAUUGCACGCUUCUUACUCCGAUCUCGAAGUUUCUCAAUUAAAGGCAGAAAUCGAAAUGUUAAAAGUUGAAUUGCAACGUGCAGAGGGCGAACUCGAAGACAGAUGUUGGUCUCCUCCUUCUGGAUUGCAACAUUGGUUACAAUUAACUCACGAAAUUGAAAAUAAAGCAUAUACCAAGAAAAAGAUAUCUGCAGAGAAACAGUUGCAACAAGCACGAGAAGCAUGCGAGAAACUGCGAAAAAAACGAUCGAGUUUAGUAGGAGCGUUUGUUUCAACUCAUGGAAAAUCGAUUGAUGAAGUUGACAAAAGUAUAGUUGAGGCAAGAACUGCUCUAAACGAAGUCACCGUAGAAUUGCAAGAAAGAGUACAUCGUUGGAAGCAAAUUGAGCUGCUAUGUGGCUUUAAUAUAAUAAAUAAUAAUGGUCUAAGUUAUUUAGAAACUGUUCUAUACAGAGGAACUCCUAACGGUCGAGGUCUUGGACUCAGAGGUCGACUCAGUAGCCAAGAUGACUUAGACGACGAAGCAAGUUCAGUUUACUCGCCUUCAACAUGUGGUGCCGCAGGUACACUAGACAGCCUAAUGUGGAAGGAGUCGUCGGUUCCUCCAGACUCGUCCAGCAGUGAAACCGGGAAGGAUACACCACCAGAGAGUAACGUUGUACAUUUCACCGUCGGCGAUGGGCCCGUCGAGCCCGUCAGAGCAUCCAGCAAAGAGAAGUCCAACAUCAUGCGUUCCCACAGUCAAGACACGAGCAUGCCUGUCGCCGUCGAGAACAAGACUACCUCACCAUUCCUGUCGAAAUCGUCUUAUUCAGAGAAUUCGUUGGAUUCGUCGAGCCAAGAUCGAUCAGGGCAGCAAAAAAUUGGUCCAACGUUCGCGACGACCGCGAGUACCACCAGCAUCAACUCCACGACAACGACGAGCAUAUCGAGCAGUAGCAGGAAAGCGCUGAAGGAGCCGCAACAACAGUCAACGGUGGACGACGAAACGUUAUCGACGGACUCGAACUCGACCACGGACAACGACGAGUCGAAAAAACGACGCCGGAAGAUGCUGUUCACGUUCAGGAGGAACAAGACCAAGGUCACGUUAUGAAGCCCGCUAGUCAACAUAACAUACACUAUAUAUCUGUGUUGUAACGUUCUUACUUAACGCUAACUCACCUGCGAUCGAUUAAUUGUGUCAUUACGAGCCGCAACGUGCACUUAAAACAUGAUGAAAACGACUUGUCUCCGCGAACCGGUUGAUCAUUAAUUAGCGAUUAGAUACAGCCGGUACAUAUACGUAUACGUACAUACAGACACACAUUAUCUGUACACGCAAAUAGAGGGACAGGUAUAGUUUGGCGGAACAUCGAUGACUUCCCUUCGUUGACCCUUUGGUCUGCAUCAAAUCGGACGUUGGCAUUUAAUCUCGCUUCUAUACAAGCCCAAUGCUAUUGAAAUUGAUUGUACGAGUUUGAGAGCUUCCAUCGUGUAUUGCUGUAUUGCAGAAGGCACGUAGAAAAACAGGGGAAAUUAGAAAGUAUCGUAUGAAUUAUGGAAAUGGUACUUACUCUUCAGUAAACUCUCGAUGGAAGAGCAUUCAAAUACGACUUAGGGGUUAGUUACUUAGUCAAUCCAGUUUCGGUAGUUUCUAGGUACUGUAUGUAAUUGGUGUCGAAGCUCCUUGUAGUAUAAAUAUCGCAAACAAACGCAGCUACGAACGUUCAAAUCUUAUUAGAUUUUGAGAAACGUAGCUGCCUCUUUGCAAUCUGUACAUUAAUGUAUGAUACAAGCAUAAGGAAGGGAUUUUGUUAAGGAAUUGUACAGUAUGAGCUUGACGCAUAACGAAAUUGAUUAUGCCAGUGUCUGAUUAAUUAUACAAUAAUAGUAGUGUCACGGUUUAAAGAAGCGUUAGUUAAGUAAGUCUAAGAAAACGAGAAAAACAUACCUAACGGCCAACGAUGGAGAGAUAGAUAAUUCUAAGAGUUAGAAGCGAUGUUCCGCUCUGCUACUGUCGUGUAGAAUGUUUUUGGUGCCCUGCUGUGUCUCCUGUUCUGCCAAAUCUUCGUUCUGUUCGCAACCAGACAUCAUCAAGCGACGUCCAAUUUAGACAGCUAGAUUUUUAACCUCGCGAAAUUCUUUAAUCACGACAAUAUUUUGGCUCAGGGAUGGGCGAUCUUUUCUCUAUACCCGUGUACCUCCUUUUCAAUUUCAGGUAGAAUUGUAUACCGACAGCUCUCUGUCUCAUUCAUUGUAAUUUAAAUUGAGCUUCUUUUUCGCUGGAACGUUCCUUUAAUUUCGCCUUUGUACUCCACUGAAUAGUAUCCAGCAGCUGUUCACUUUUCGAUUAGUCUCUCUGAAAUAAAAGAAUCUCAAUUUUAAAUAUUUAUAAUAAAUAUAAAUUGUCUUUGGAUUAAGUUUUGUAGUAAGUUAUGAUAGUGAAAAUUGAUCUUUGAACAGCUACAAUGAACACGAUAUUUUACAAUCUCUAACAACGUAUUGACCUCUUCUUUGAAGCAGUGGAAAUAUUUUACUUGGUCCAUUCCUAUUCUUUCGUGCAUUUUCAUUCUUAAAAUUAUUUCGAACGCCAGUAAAACAAUGAAUGAAGUUCUAGAAUGAUUUCAUAAUCGAUUACAAUUUAUAAAAAUGUAUGUUCCUCCGAUGUUUCUCCAUGACGAUACUCGGCCUAAGUAAUCAUUAAGCGAAAUCUACUAAGAAAGAAGUUUCUGUCGUAUCUGCUUUAACAAGUUCUUCAUUUCUUGACUAUAAUUCACGAGUCCGGUAUUAUAAUUCCAACAUAGAUUUUUAUUUAAAGAAAAAGAAAAGCGAUCGCUCAUUCCUAGAUCCAUCGUGACUUGUUUCUCUUGCGCAAAAACACGAAAUUCUAGCGUACUGAAGCUUUCGUUCCUUUCUUUUUUUGUUUCUUUUUCAAUCGAUGAACUAGUGGUAGUCGUUAAAUGUAAAUCUUCUUUCUGUUUUCUUUUGUCUUUUCUCCCUUUUAUUUUUCGUAUUCAUUGUUUUUUUGGCCCCUUCAGUACAGGUCCAGCACAAAUUCUUCCUCUUCGCCUUCCUAUUUGAUUUCUUAAUAUACACUUAAAUAUCGCGAUCUCACACACUUUAUCAUUUUUUAUCUUUGCUUUGCUUUUUGCAAAUUACAAUUGUCCUCUAUCUUUCUUCGUAUUACGCUGAGUUAUUAUAUCCUUCUUUAUCCGAAUGUGUCUUCAUUUCUUGAAAAACUUGCGAAAUUUAAUGACGAUAUCUUCCAUUUAAUCGCGUUCGGUUAAAUAGCACGAAUAUCAGAUUCCAUUGUUGAAUUUUGUAUAUCUGUAAGGAGCAGAGCUCUGUUCUGAAAUAGGCGAUAAUAAGAUAAGAGAAUACCUAAAAUAUCUUUAACUAUUAAGUCAUCCCACGAGUGAGGUAGCGUUUUUAAUAUUAUCUUCUUAAGAACACAAUUAAAUACAAAUAAACACAAUAAAAACACAAAUAACAAUUGAAAGAGGAUUUGCAGUUGAUCAGAUUUCAAGUAUUUUCCAAAGUAUGUGAAUUUUGGGUAAUUCUCAUUUUUUAGAAGUAAAAUUGUUCACCUAACCGCAGUCAACCAUAAUAUUAGUUCCUUGUUUGAUAAAAUUCAUACUUGUGGAAUGACAUAAUAACAAAUAAUCAUAAAGAGAUUUAGGACACUCAUCCUUCGAGGUUCAUGAAGAUUUGUAAAUAGAAUAUCGCUGAAAAGCAAUAAUCAUUAAGACGUCUCUGUUUUUCUUCCUAUACGUGACUUUACACGAUAAUGUUUGCAAGUAUUACUAGGUUUAACACUACGAAUAAAGCUCACGAAUCUCAAAGGAGAGAGAGGAAGGGAACUAGCGUAAAAACCGACUUUUGUGCUUGCCUUGUACCAUAUAGAGAAUUUCUAGUUCAAAUUAUUUGCAGUCUUCCAUGAAUCAUAAAAGAGUACAUAAAUCGUGACGUUUUAUCGUCGCGUUUUUUAUUCAAUUUGUGCGCCGUUUAUUCUUCUUUUCUUCUUCUUUUUUCAAACGACUCGUUCAUAAUAUUGCGACACCUUCUAAUGUUUAAACGAUUAUGGUCUGCCUGAAAUCAAUUAGUCGUUCAAGGCCAUCGAAUAAUCUCUAUUGUUUCAUAUACUUUAGAAUUUCGUUCAUCGCUAAAUUUACGUUCAUCAUUAUAAUAGUGGAGAACGCUAUUACACGGAUUAUCUAGAAAUCUGAAAGCUUAGAAUAUUAUUAGUACGGAAUGGAAAGCACUAUCUAGCUCCCUUUGUAACAGCGUUGAAAAAUUAUCGAGAUAGAGGUUUAGCAAGGAGGAAAGGGUACGAUGAUUUAUAAUUAAGAAAGUGACCUUAAGUGACUGACUGUUUUUGGUCAGACUGUAGAAUUAACUUAUUAUCGCUUCCUCGUAUUACGCAUAAUUCUCUACAGUUGUCGCGCGUGGCAACGAACAUACAAUACAGGACGAAGUGGUUUCUUCCUUUCUUAUCAUAUUUUUCUCAUUUUAUGUAUAUACACUGUAUAUGUACGUAUAUACAUUAUGUACACACACACACAUGCACACACAAGUAUGUCCGUGUACAUAUAAACGUAGAAGCUUAAAAGCGGUGAGGCUGGAACUCUCUGAAACUUAUACCAUGUAAAGAAGGAUAGUGCGAUAAGAUUUAAACUCGAGUAUUAAAUCGACCAUUAUCACAUGAAUAUGCGAAGCUACUGUUACAGACAAUUUUGAUAAGUGUCAUCGCCCUCGCGUCGAUUAACUUUCCGUGCGCCGGUUUCUCCAUAAUCGAAGAGGAAUUCUAUCUUGGAAAUUUAAUGAUGCGCUCGACUCGAAUUCUAAUUAGCAAAAGUUACGUUCGUAAUUGGCACGUGAAAUCGGAAAAUUCGAGAGUUAGGAGGUUCGAGAAGCUGAAAACUUGGAAGCUUAACAAUUUGAAGGUCAUUGAAAUACGCCAACGUCUAGAAAUUGAGGAAGAUGAAAAUUCGAGAGAACCUAGACCACGGAGAGUUUGAACAAACGCUUAUUGUCCUUUUUGUUUCACUUGUUCUUCCAAAAUGCCUGCACGAUUAAUCGACCACUUUCGCUUGAUCUUCUCUCUUGUGCUACCCGAUGUUUUUAAUAUUUAUUUUGUUGUGCAUCUUUACCCUGACUCAAGAGCAGUGGAUUUCGUUCGCUAUUUUGCGGUUUUUCUACGUGUAUCCUGGAAAAUCUUCCUUUUGUUUCGCCCUUAUUCCUUUUCCCUUUCACGCGACGCGCAUUCCUCUUGCCAGCUUAUUGUUCCAGAUGACGCUUACUUCGCUCCUCUCCUAACUGGCAAACUGACACAUUUGUAUCUCAGGGUUAGUCUCAGUUUCUUUUUCUGAUCACGACAACGUACUAAUUAUGAGUACGAUCACGAGUGUGUUUUUCGGGGGCAUCUCUCUAUCUGUAGAGAUACACACGUUUGAACAGACAUCGCGCGACCCUCUGGACGAGUUACUUAGGGACGUAUUAUAAGAGAGCAAUAGGCGAAGCGAUCUGACGUUCAAUGGACCAAGUUCGAUUAACGUUAUGUAGCGUUACGUGAAAAAUAAGAAGAGGUAUAGUUGCAAGCAUCGAUAGUUGGAACGUUCUUCUAGGCUCAAUCAUAGUAUUAUAGAAUAGUAGCAUCAGGGAAGAUUGUCGUAGUUAAGUAUUUAAACAAACUUUUAUCUCGAACGAGAUAUCACAGCUUGCGAGGGCUUCCGUAUAUGUAAAAAUACAGCCGUAUAAUUGUAUCAAUUUUAUCGUAACACACUGUUUACCAAUUAUACAAAUCUGCCAACUUUAUCAUUACAGUAGUAUCGUUGUUAAAAUGCUUGAGAGUAAAUGGUCCAAACUCUAUUCAGGGCACACUUUUUCGAUAUUUAAAGAUGUAGAUAACGAAACUGCUAGGUAAACGUAGCGUUAAAUUUGAGAAAGUGUGUAUCCGUUGAUUCAUCUGCAGUCUUCUACAGCAGAAAAGUUUUUUCAAAAAUAUCUUUCUUCUUUAGCUUGUAUCCGAUUGUUCCGCGAAAAGGUUUCAUCUUCGAAUGAAAUCAAUUUUCCUAUAGGUAUACGAUGCAUUACGUUCGAUUAAAAACUUAAGACUGCAAUGAAUUAAUAAGUGAGAAAAUCUUGCAAUAGCAAUAUGUAACACGUGUGACACUCGUGUUCCCCAGCAGAACUGAAAAAGAAAUAUUGUUAAUAUCUGAUGUAUAAAUCAUGUUUCCCUUUGUCGGGGAUGCUAUGUUCUCCAAAUGAAAAGAAACAAGAAAGAAGAAAGAAGCUCACUCCCACGAUUUAAGUCGUUGAUCAAACCGCGUGACAUCUUUAUGGUUGUAUGAUUUAUCGUAAGAGUUGACAUACGGAAUAAAAGCAAAGGUCAAUUUUAACUAGCUCUUUGCGACGUUCUUCUCGUGCAAACUAUAAAUUGUAUUCCCUGCGUGAAACCUGGGAACCUUUCUCGACUGGGAAAAGAAAUCACAGGCCGUCCGAAAAAUCGUGUACCGUCCUUGUAAGGCGUGAUUCUCUUCUCGUCUGUUGCAAUAUCGAGCACGAUUUACGCGAUCGUAGAACGAUUUAUUCGCAUGAAUUUAUAGAAUGAUAAUAGAAAGAUGUAAUACGACUAAGUUCGUUGGCUUCUCCUUCCAACGUUUCCGUUCCAAGAGACCCGGACGAACGCAGAGUCGUCGAGAAUUAUGCAGAUACAUCAUCGAUCACUAACAAUUUCUGUGAGAAUAAAAUGUGUCAGCUUCGUUUUAACGUGUUACUUCGUGAUCGACCCAUUAAGUACCAGCUUUAAGAUGGUUUGCCAGGUUGUGAAUAUUCUAUGUAUCAUAUGUGCCCCUUUCAAUAGUCUUCUCGUUCUCUUCGGACUGUUCUAUGUAGUUCUUAAGCGAACGUAAUAUAACGUUAACCAUUCCUACAAAUAAUUAAUAGCUGUUGAGAAUUCGUAAUAACUUGUUGGAAAGAUAGUAGCGAUUAAAACGAUGAGAAUAUCUUAGAAGAUUCUUAAAAGCGAAGUACUGUGAAUAUGUGUACUUUAUAGUUGAAAAUAAAACUAUGUUGUAUACACUGACUUAUUGUUAGCUUGAGUGGUAGAGUCUGGCUGUUUUUCUCUCUUCGAUUUUUCGUCAAUUCUUCUGACGUACGUGGUAUGCGUGUGUACUAUGAUACAAGUGGUAAUCUGCAAUCUUUCUUACCUCAUAUGAUAGCCCAGCAACAAUAUGUCGGAAAGCGAGCGUUUAAAAAAUAAUUUGAUAUAAGUUUCUCAGGAACGUUAUGUUAUCUGUUCCCCUGGUGUUCCGUAAUAAUUAAUUUCGUUUGUCCCCUUUUCCUGUGUUUAAUAUUCUUGAUAUCAAACGAAUCGUUUGAGACGUUACAUUUGUCAUUAGCACCGAAUUAUGGCGAUAGAAGUUGUAAAAAAGUUAAGGAGCUUCUCAUCGUGGUAUAAGAGUCGAAAUUAUUCAAAAAAACAUAUAAAUUCUGGAACGAUCGAAUUUAGAAAGAGAAAGAAAACGAGGAAGAAUUUUGAAACAAGCGUAAUGAAACGUGACGAAGUCGUUGUCAAAACUCUAGGGAAAACGGAGGUUUCAAGCAACAUAACACAUACAAAUGCUGGUACUUAAUGGACCCGUUAAAAGGUCGUCACAGUGCGUAGAAUUUCUUAGGACACUUCAGAUCAAAAUGUAUUUUAUAAUUACGAGUGAUGUUUAUAAAGGACAGUUUUUAAGAUUGUGUAUAUCUUGUUAUAUGUUAUAUCGCUUGAUACUGAAAUCUGACUCCAGUUUACUAAUUAUUGGUAGAGACGAAGAGUGAACGAUAGAAUGCAAGAGAUGCGAAAAGGAAGAAUACGUGUAUAGUUCAAAGGGUAACACAAUGCAACAACUCAGUUGGUCGUAAUGCGCUAUUUUAUUAGAAAAACGUUAUUAAAUAGUUUGGACCGGACACACACGCAAAACAUGUUUUCCAUCGGUUUUACACCAAUGUUGACUGCCGACAAAAUUAGACAUGGUUGCAGCAAAUUAGAAUUUGUAGCCUUCUGUGGCUUAGGUUCAUACAGUUUAUACAGUUCAAGAUUUUCAGAUGUAAAUUCUAGUUUUUCUCUGAAACAAUAUGUUAAAGUCUAUAGUCCAAAUAGUUUUAUCAGGUUGCAGUGAUCAAGUGUGUUGUUUUUUUUUCUUACGAAUAAUUAUUUUAUAUAUAAUGUAUAAUACAAUAUAUAUAAGAUUAUUUUAUAAUUUCUUUAUUGAUUUCUAUUCUCUCUUUCCUAAGUUUUAUUAAAAGUCUAAAAGGUACUGCCUAUUUGAUAAAACUGGAUGUAACUAUAGAAUAUCCUCCCAAAAAGGCAAGAAAUACAAUCUGAAGGUCUCAAACGGCAUUAAACAUGGAAACAAUUGCGCGAAGAACGAAAUAACACACUCAUCAACAAUUAAGUCCGGUAACUAAUACUAGCGAAUAUCUUUGUCAUUAAUUUAAAACCAUGUAUAAACAUCUGCACACGCCGUAACGAUCUUAUAAUAGUCUUUAGGCUAGAAUGGUCUAACUGUGACCUAACGAUCAACUAACUAUAACUGCACAAAUCUAUGGUCGUUCAUCUUUGUGAUUAACGAUCACAGCAAUGGAUACAUUGGCUUCAAGUUAGUCUAUAAAUUCUCAAAUAAUUGUAUACUGCUACAUGACUCAGGCUAAGAUCAAUUUUCCUGCCCUACAAAGAUGUUUUUACAUAAAAAGGAUUUAUUCAUUGAGUACAUUCAAAUUUCAAUGUAAUCCAACUUAUUUGAGAAUUUAUCGACCAACUUGGAUAUUAACAAAUAAAUUAAUCGUUAGAUAUUUCGUCACUGGUAUCAUGAUACUUGAUUAGAAAUCGUAUUACGUGUUCAGAUUUUCAACUAGAAAUCCAGAAUUAUAGGACAAAUUGUAUAAACCAUCAGUCUUAUGAAAACACAAGCAUACUUAUUAACAAUCGAACAAUGGAUUUGAAAUACUGAUUUCGCGAUAAACAGAUUUUCUUUUGAACAACGAAUAAAGAAGCAUUCGAGUUCCUAUUGAGUCGAAUAAUUUUCCACAAAAAAAAAAAAAAGAAAAAAGAGAAGAAGAAAGAA
RNA transcript from Bombus huntii, 10059 nucleotides. It is a transcript of the gene named stromal interaction molecule homolog, with no coding region annotated. The record is from RefSeq and is a predicted model, not a curated record. The transcript is spliced from 12 exons. Lineage: Eukaryota; Metazoa; Arthropoda; Insecta; Hymenoptera; Apidae.